AGCGGCGGACGGGUGAGUAACGCGUGGGAAUGUACCCUUCUCUAAGGAAUAGCCACUGGAAACGGUGAGUAAUACCUUAUACGCCCUUCGGGGGAAAGAUUUAUCGGAGAAGGAUCAGCCCGCGUUGGAUUAGAUAGUUGGUGGGGUAAUGGCCUACCAAGUCUACGAUCCAUAGCUGGUUUGAGAGGAUGAUCAGCCACACUGGGACUGAGACACGGCCCAGACUCCUACGGGAGGCAGCAGUGGGGAAUCUUAGACAAUGGGGGAAACCCUGAUCUAGCCAUGCCGCGUGAGUGAUGAAGGCCUUAGGGUCGUAAAGCUCUUUCGCCAGGGAUGAUAAUGACAGUACCUGGUAAAGAAACCCCGGCUAACUCCGUGCCAGCAGCCGCGGUAAUACGGAGGGGGUUAGCGUUGUUCGGAAUUACUGGGCGUAAAGCGCACGUAGGCGGACUAGUCAGUCAGAGGUGAAAUCCCAGGGCUCAACCCUGGAACUGCCUUUGAUACUGCUAGUCUUGAGUUCGAGAGAGGUGAGUGGAAUUCCGAGUGUAGAGGUGAAAUUCGUAGAUAUUCGGAGGAACACCAGUGGCGAAGGCGGCUCACUGGCUCGAUACUGACGCUGAGGUGCGAAAGUGUGGGGAGCAAACAGGAUUAGAUACCCUGGUAGUCCACACCGUAAACGAUGAAUGCCAGUCAUCGGGCA
This 700-nucleotide ribosomal RNA is filed under the name uncultured Alphaproteobacteria bacterium. RNAcentral describes it as "bacterial SSU rRNA". It matches the Rfam family "Bacterial small subunit ribosomal RNA", at positions 94 to 829 of the family's 1533-position model. Lineage: Bacteria; Pseudomonadati; Pseudomonadota; Alphaproteobacteria. The record is from RNAcentral.